This 253-nucleotide ribosomal RNA is filed under the name uncultured bacterium. RNAcentral describes it as "partial 16S ribosomal RNA". It matches the Rfam family "Bacterial small subunit ribosomal RNA", at positions 524 to 776 of the family's 1533-position model. The record is from RNAcentral.
UACGUAGGGCGCAAGCGUUAUCCGGAAUUAUUGGGCGUGAAGAGCUCGUAGGCGGUUUGUCGCGUCUGCCGUGAAAGUCCGGGGCUCAACUCCGGAUCUGCGGUGGGUACGGGCAGACUAGAGUGAUGUAGGGGAGACUGGAAUUCCUGGUGUAGCGGUGAAAUGCGCAGAUAUCAGGAGGAACACCGAUGGCGAAGGCAGGUCUCUGGGCAUUAACUGACGCUGAGGAGCGAGAGCAUGGGGAGCGAACAGG